RNAcentral lists this long non-coding RNA (1069 nucleotides) under Anser brachyrhynchus (Pink-footed goose). Its description in RNAcentral is "lncRNA (ENSABRG00000020985.1)". Lineage: Eukaryota; Metazoa; Chordata; Aves; Anseriformes; Anatidae. The record is from RNAcentral.
GCUUCUUCUACUUGAUUUUGCAGAAAAAGAUAUAAAUCCUGCAUUUAUGACAUCACAGUUUGUUGCCAUGGAAUUUACUAUGCUAUUGCAAACACCCUGUUGUGAUUACAUGACAGCUUCCAAUCAGAGGAUAAAAUCUUUCCCAGUGAGAAAACACAUCUUGAAGUUAAGAAAAUAUGAAUGGGAGAAAUAAAUCAGUCUUUUUAAGUGCUGAGCACCAGCCUGAUACUAUACAGACAUGGAAUGAGACAUUUUUAACUUCACAGAGCUCACAAGUUGAUGUAGACAGACACAUUACAGGGGAGGCUUGCAGUAUGCCUGGCAGGAAUAUAGACUUGAAGCAGUUAUGAGACUGACUGUUGUUACAGUUGCAUUGCAGGAAGGAGCCAGUGAAAUAAUAAAAAGAGAGAGUUUGGAGAGCCACUGGUUAGAGAUGCUCUGUGUGCUUCAGAAGCAAGAAGAGCUAAGAAAAAAAGAGGAUGUGUUUGUAUAUGCAAAGGCAAGGUUGCUCCAUCAGCGUGAGCAAGCAACUGGGGCAUGGAUUGCAUUUCCAGGGAGACGAAGAGGGUGGCAAAGCAGUCAGAGGAGGCUGGGAAGGGCAAAUGCAUGAAGGGAGAGUCAGUGGAUAUUAGGGCAGAGGUGGAACCGCAGCUGUGCUGUGCAGACUUUGAAGGGCUGACUGCAUCCUGGCACAGGGAAGGUAGUGAGGAAUUCAAAAGUGUGGUUUACAUGAGCAAAGCCCACAGAAACACAAGAGAUCUCCUUGAGAAUCCUGAUCCCAACAGACUUCCAGCCUUUUUCUCAGAGAGUAGAGCACAGCUGGUUCAGGCAAAGUCCAAAGUUCAAGCAAGUUUACCAGAGCCCAAGACCACUGUGAAGAUGCAAUAUCAAAAAGAAUUAAAAGCUGCAGUACAUUAUGUGCAUUACAGUCACUGUAGCCUGACGCAUCAUUUUUCUUCUGCCUUUUUAACAUUGCAAACUAAAAAAGAGUGCAGUGUUAAAAAGCUCAGAGUUAUUGAAAACUGCAACGUGGGGUUUGUUUAGAAGGUUUUGGAAUUGUGCAUCCACA